This 253-nucleotide ribosomal RNA is filed under the name uncultured bacterium. Its description in RNAcentral is "partial 16S ribosomal RNA". It matches the Rfam family "Bacterial small subunit ribosomal RNA", at positions 524 to 776 of the family's 1533-position model. The record is from RNAcentral.
UACGAAGGGGGCUAGCGUUGUUCGGAAUUACUGGGCGUAAAGCGCACGUAGGCGGGCGAUUAAGUCAGGGGUGAAAUCCCGGAGCUCAACUCCGGAACUGCCUUUGAUACUGGUCGUCUAGAGAUCGGAAGAGGUGAGUGGAAUUCCCAGUGUAGAGGUGGAAUUCGUAGAUAUUAGGAAGAACACCAGUGGCGAAGGCGGCUCACUGGUCCGGUACUGACGCUGAUGCGCGAAAGCGUGGGGAGCAAACGGG